UACAGAGGGUGCGAGCGUUACUCGGAAUUACUGGGCGUAAAGCGCGCGUAGGCGGCUUUGCAAGUCGGGUGUGAAAUCCCCAGGCUUAACCUGGGAACUGCAGUCGAUACUACUUAGCUAGAGUAUGGGAGAGGGCAGUGGAAUUCCCGGUGUAGCGGUGAAAUGCGUAGAUAUCUGGAGGAACACCGGUGGCGAAGGCGGCAUCCUGGACCGGUAUUGACGCUGAGGCGCGAAAGCCAGGGGAGCAAACGGG
Molecule: ribosomal RNA, 253 nt
Filed under: uncultured bacterium
Lineage: Bacteria
Description: partial 16S ribosomal RNA
Rfam family: Bacterial small subunit ribosomal RNA
Source: RNAcentral